Molecule: ribosomal RNA, 433 nt
Filed under: uncultured bacterium
Lineage: Bacteria
Description: partial 16S ribosomal RNA
Rfam family: Bacterial small subunit ribosomal RNA
Source: RNAcentral
AACGAACGCUGGCGGCAUGCCUAACACAUGCAAGUCGAACGGGACCUUCGGGUCUAGUGGCGCACGGGUGCGUAACGCGUGGGAACCUGCCCUUAGGUUCGGAAUAACUCCCCGAAAGGGGUGCUAAUACCGGAUAAUGUCUUCGGACCAAAGAUUUAUCGCCUUUGGAUGGGCCCGCGUUGGAUUAGCUAGUUGGUAGGGUAAAAGCCUACCAAGGCGACGAUCCAUAGCUGGUCUGAGAGGAUGAUCAGCCACACUGGGACUGAGACACGGCCCAGACUCCUACGGGAGGCAGCAGUGGGGAAUAUUGGACAAUGGGCGAAAGCCUGAUUCAGCAAUGCCGCGUGAGUGAUGAAGGCCUUAGGGUUGUAAAGCUCUUUUACCCGGGAUGAUAAUGACAGUACCGGGAGAAUAAGCUCCGGCUAACUCCGUG